Molecule: ribosomal RNA, 224 nt
Filed under: uncultured bacterium
Lineage: Bacteria
Description: partial 16S ribosomal RNA
Rfam family: Bacterial small subunit ribosomal RNA
Source: RNAcentral
AACGGGGGAAGCAAGUGUUAUUCGUCAUGACUGGGUGUAAAGGGUAAGUAGGUGGAUAUUUAACUUUUGAUAAAAAAUAGUGAAUAUCUAGGGUAUAAUAGAAGUUAAUGGUACUCUUGAGGAAAGGGUAAAUCUAAUGAUCUCAAAGGGGACCACCAAUAAGCGAAGGCGAUUAACUAUAUUAGAACUGACGCUGAGGUACUAAAGCGUAGGGAGCAAACAGG